UACAUUGAGGUUUACGUUGACCUCUACAUACACAUAAUAUUUGUAUCCAGUAUACGUAGACCAUUCGUAUAGGAAGAUUACAUAGCCUCUUAUUUUAUUGCACAUUGAUUUAUAAAAUAUUACAUUGUCUUAAUUGGUUGUCUCAUCUCCUAAACCAUCUAAACACCAUUAUAUGAAUCUGGGAUAUCCCAUACAUAAAACUAAUAAGGCCACGUGGGAUAUAUAAUGUUUAGUAUUCAGAUUAAAAGAAAAGAACAUAAGUCUUAAAUAUAAAACAACUUCAUUAGCUUGAUAUUAACAUUCCCCUCGAAAAGUGAGGACAUGUGACACUUUAAUGAGUGAUAAUUAGAAGUCUUCCUUCAAAGUCAUCUCAAAAUCUCUUCAAUGAACAGAAUACAAAACAUUGGUGAAAAGAGAGAAAAUGGGGUAAGUACUUCACUUAUACUAAGUAAAAGACCGUACGGACAUACAUCAUAAUAUAAAGCUAAGAAGGGGACAAUUCAUUAGGGUAUGCAAUUUACUUUGAAAAGCCUUAUGCACAUUCAAGAAGACCAUAUCAAUCAAUAAGGCAUAUUCGUCACGUCAAAAUCGUGUAAAUCACAAGACUAACAAUAUUAUAUCUAGUCAAGUCAAGAUGCAUAUCACAUAAUUUAAGACACAGUCUAAGGAAAUUUAUCAUCAAGUUAUAGUAACAAUAACGAUGGAUAAGAUUUCAUUACAACACUAAAAAGCAAGGCAAUUACCCAUGAACCCUUAUUAAGUGAACUAGUGAAAUGAACAAGCAAAGCCCCAUAACCUUACCCAAUCAACGAAACCCAACAAGAAUCAUGACCAACAUCAAACUUAACUUAACUUGACAUUUAACAUUUGUAUCAAAAUACAUUGGCAUUAGAGACGAAACACCUAUUCAUAAGGGAAACAAAUAAACAUAUAAUAUCAUCAAUGCAUAAGAUCAUCAUAUACAUAUCAUCUACAAUUGUAUGCAUAUACAUACAUACGAAUAUCCUCUUGAGGUUUCGCUCAAGAAAAACUAGUGCAGGCAUAGGAAGUGUCCUACACCCCUACUUAAUCAAAGUCAAACCUCUCAAAGUACAAUAUUUGGUUUGUACUUCAUUACUUAAUUUUAUUUAAGGGAAUACUUGCCUUAACAAAUAUAUACCACAAGAUCUAAUUGUGAAAUCAGUGUUGUAAAACCUCACACCGAUGGGAGGUAUUCUACCAUCCAAAGUAUAACCAAACACAAACGUACCUUUCUAGGUGGAUCCACUAGCUAGUCUUUCUGUGGGGGAAACAUAGUUCAAGAAUACGAGAUAGGUCUGUACAUGCCACUUGAAAAUUGGAGCCUCAUCUCAUUGGAAUACAUAGGAUGAGUGUCCCUCAUCUCAUGUUGUAUUAUAGGGUGAAUCUUACUCUAUGGAAAGUCAAUACCUCACAUUUUCAGGUUCACUCGGUGCUAAGCUAAGACCCUUUUUGAAAUUUCAUUAAUACCUUUAUUAUCAUCAAAGCUUAAUCUAUAUAAUAGGGUAUAUCCCUUGUAUAAUCAUUAUAUUCAUAGCUCAAUAAGAAUUCCAUGAGUAUAGUCAUUUCAUUACAAUUCAUACAAGUGUAGUUAGCAAAUUUACAUAGUCAUAUCGUAUUAAUGCACAUGGUUAGUUAUCACCGUCCUUAUAACAUUUACAUCUUAGCCACCACCUCACAAACAAUAGUCAAGAUAUUUCAAUUCAACAUCAUAAAAAAACAAUAAAUCUUAUUACAAGGUAUACUUCAACUUAACUAUCACACCCGGAUUCAGGAAUCCGGAUGCAACCGACGUCGUUAACCACUAAGAGGUCGCAAAAAAAAUCCUCUUCUUAGCUUUUAUCACAAUCAUAUAGUUAAAUGUAUGGAAAGUUAAUAAUUUUUAAACAUAGAGAAGUAUGCAUAGACUUCAUAAGAUUACAAUAUAGAAUAAUAUUCUAUUGAGCUCAAACUAAACAACCAUGUACAAUCCAUUUAGCAAUACUAUGAAUAAAUCAAUAUAUCUUAAUAGUUUGCCAAAGGACUUAAUACAAAGCUUUGAAUAAAAGUCUGAAAUGAAACGAUAGGGACAACAUCCACUAGCUAUGUCAAAAGUACUAAGCUCGAAUUAUAGGUGUCGCAUCAUGUAACUCAAUAAGGCGUAAAGUCUGGAGAUCGGUGAUCCAAACCUCUUCAAUGAGUCUUCAAUCUGCACUCUGAAUUGCGCCAAUAAAGGAGUAAUAGUAUAGGGUUAGUACACACUUUUAAUAAGGAUGGUAUGUGCACAUAUACACAUAAGUACUAUGCAUGAUAAAGGAAAGCUCUUCCUACAACAAUAUGUCAUUUCUGGAAAGUGAAGUCAAUAGACUUUUCUAAUUUGUUAUUUGUGAUUUGUGGUAUGAUUAUGACGUAUUUUAAUGCAUUCAAAACACACAACUCAUUUUCUAUAUGAACAUAAUACCUAGAAUCAUGACUAUAAUUUUAGAACAACUCGAACGAAAUUUUGAAAUUUACUCCCACUUAACUUGGGAUCUCCUUCGCUAACACUUAGUUUAUUUUUUAGUAUUUUUAUUCUUAUUGAUGUGUAGUUAAAUGAUAUACUUUAAUCUUAUGUUUUUACAUAUAAGUGCAAGGAUUCAUUGUAUUCCCAUGCCUACAAUGAAUCAAGUAAGGAAUCUAAAAGAAUAGGGAAAUGAUUUAUCUACCCUUACUAUAGUUUAUUCUUUCCAUUCUUGUUAAAUUGGGCAUGAAAUCUUUAUAAGCCAAUAUGUAUUGGCUAGGCCACUUAUUUCAUGAUUUUCAUAUUAGGGAGAUUAUGUGGCAUUAAGUAGCCAUUACGUUUUACUAACCUUUAUUGGCAUAUCAUAAUAAGUCACUAUAAGCCAAUUAUUUAUUUGGCUGUGCCCAUUAUUUUAUCAUUUGCAUAACGUGAAGAUAUUGAAGCAUAAUUUUUUAACCACUGAUGGUUUGAUAUACUCAAGUUCUUACUUUUUUAGCGUACUUUUAACUUACAUAUCUUCUUCAUAUCUUCUUCAUUCUUUCUUACAUUCUUAAAGAAAUCUAUACAUUAUGAAUAUGUGAGCAAACAUGAAAUCCAGUGUCUGCCCCACAGUGAAAAAUGGUGGUUCACCUAUAAAAGUGAAUCUAGAUCAUGUUAGUUUAACAUGAAAUCCAUUGUCUGCACCACACCGAAAAGGGGUGAUUCAUCAGCUAAAGUAAAACAAUGUCUAGUGUCUUCCCCACACCGACAAUAGGUGGUUGACUUCUAAAGUGAACAGAAUACUUUCUUUAAUCAUUUAGCCGAUAUAGAUUAUAUUAACUAAGCAUGAAAUCUAGCCUAUGCCCCACACUAAAAAGGGGUAGUUUCACCGGCCAAACUGAUACCGCAUCAUACCUAGCUCUCUUAGGUUGAAUCCACUGGCUAGUUCUUAUGCUUGCAGCAUAAUUCAAUGACUAGGAGACAUAUGGAACUACUUAUCAACUUUGGUGGUAGUCUCAUCUCAUGAGGGUAACAUCUGCUUGCACAAGUUUAUUGCUAGUGCAUUGGUGCUUUGCUCAGCUUCUUUUUCUUUACAUCUUUUAGAGUUGACUCAAACAUUAUAAAAGCUUGCUUUUUACUUAUGAGGUUUACUUAACUCUUUGGAUAAUAGGUCAUACCUUCAUUUACUUGAUGAAAUCUGAAUUUAACCUUACAUUAUAAUCUUGAUGUUUAUGAGACUCGUCUUCCGAUUAUUAACACCUUUUUUGUGAGUAUAUUUAGCACAUUUGUCUAGGUGUUAGUGAGACAUGUCUCACUUCUUUUAACACCUCAUUCUGGUUACUUUCAUAAUUCUAAAUCUUUUAAUUAUGUUAUGACACACCUUAUCUUGUCCAAUGACAUUUGGUAGCUUGAUACAAUUUUUUAUGAAUGUUAUAUGCUUAGUUCAACAAAGUUAAAUUGGUCAUGGUUAAUUUGGUUUAAAUAAUUCAUUAGCAAAUUCUUUAUCAUAUCAUUGAAAUAAUAUUGUAAGCCAAUUCCAUUCCACUUUUUGGACAAUGUAUUGUUAGCCAAUUCAUUGGCAUAAACAAAACUUUCGAUUAAACAAUUUUCAUUAUGUUAUCAAUAGAAACAUCAAUUAAUCCUCUGAAUUUAUUAUAGUGAUCCCCCCAAUAUAAAGUCAAAUUUAACCAUUAAGCAUUACAUCCUUCUUUAUUUCAUAUAACUAAUACCCUAAUAUAUUGAAUCAAGUAUAUAGCCUCAUUAGUCAUUAACAAAUCAAGAACCUACACACAAUGAUCAGUUAGCACCACAUACCAAUAACAUAUUCGAGAUUACAUCUAUAUUCUUGUAGGAUCGAAAACAAGGAUAACUAGAGAGAUGGACGUUCAACAAUAUCAUUGGGAAUAACUCUAGUUUCAACAUUCAUGAAUUCAAAACAUUUAAAAGGCCUCUCCAAGAAAAAAUUCCAAGAGAGAAAACCCAUACUUUAUGUAGAAUUAAAACUACGAAGAUCACCUUGCACGAAAACUUUGAAGAAUACCUUCUUAUCGCCUAAGAGAGCUUAUUCUGUUUUCUAUGUUUUUGCACACUAUUUUUCUCACGAUUGCGUACUGUUUUAAGUCGUGAAUUCUGUAGUUGUUUUAACAUGAGCCUAAGUAUUAGGAACUGAUAUUGACUAAUUAAAUUUAGGCUAAUUAAGUUAGUAAAAUAAAUUAAUUAGUUAAUUGAUAAAAUGCCCUUUCUAGAUUGACUAAAAAUAGGAAACCAUUUAACUUAGUCAAAUCUAAAAAAAAAUUAUGAGUUUUUGCCUUGCUUGUAAAUUUUCCUUAGUUAAUUAAUUCCUUAAAUUAAUUAAUUAAGGGACCUAGGUUAAUUACUAAAUUACCCCUAAGACAUUGGGACCAUAACUAACUCUUUUGGACGAUCCGAGGUUAGGUACUAGGAUGUUUCUUGAACUAGUUAUUAAGUUAGUGUAACUCAAUUAAGUCUUGCGUUUUUGGGUGCACUCGAUAGUAUAUUUUUGUUUGUCCUAGGUUAGUUAGAUAGUUAGUUCAUUUAGUUAUAGACGAGAUUUUGUUAGAGAGUUAUUCCCCACAUGGGUGGACCUUUGCGCACGCCUUCCCCCUAACUUCCCUGAACGAAUUCGGUUAGGGUGGUCCCCUCCCUUAGCCAAUUUUCACAUGUGCUUGCACAUGUGUUAAUUGUAAUUUCCUUACAUAAUAUUCUUUAUGGUUCAUUUGGAGUGCUUACUAUCGUCCCAAAGAUCCUCACUAUUAUCUUGGGCACUACUUUUUGUCUACAUGCCCAUUAAAUUUGGACACAUGCUAUGGUGCCAAGGCUUGACACAUGGAUGCCUCGCACCUAAUGUGCAAAUGGUAGAAAACCUAUGUUUUUAGAUUUGGGACUUAAAGUAGGUAUACUUAUUGGACAAGCUUGUUAAUACAUAGAAAAUUUGCUAGCACCCUCUAAGACAAUAUUUCCUAAAUAUUGUGCACUUGGAUGUCGUUUACCCCCAAUACCUAUUCUUAAAACUUAAUAGGCUCUUCAUUAGACGUGUACAUUUUCUGGAAUAAUACGUUAUCCCCCCUUAGGAAUAUUCAUCCAAAAAUGAAAUUAUACAUCCUUUUAAACCAACGAGGGUAAUUUCGAAAACACAUUAUCUUACUUGAAACUUUACUCUUUGUAAAUUUGUUAUUCACAUUUACUCUGUAUGAUGCAUAUUACUCAUAGAUUAUCUGAAAUUUCAUGUUUGAGAUUGAGGAACUUCAUUCUUAAUCACAAUUAACUUAAUGCACAUCACAACUCAUGUAACACAAAAAUCAUGUCUACAGUUAGAAAAACCACAUCAUGAAUGCAAACAUGAACUCAUUUUAACUCAUAUUGUGCAAGUAUAAGAGACACGAUUAUGAACUUUAAAAUCAAAUCGGCAAAUGCAUUAACAAGUCAGUGUUUCAUAAAUAAAAACCAGACAUAGGAAGAGUAUAUCUGACCUAAAGAACUAAACAAGUUAGGGUAACGGGAUCUUAAUCGACUAGGUAAGACAUGAAGUUUUUAGCUGUUUGGUCUUAACUUGUUAGCAAUUUGGGAACACCUCUAAAACAUAGAAUAUCUCACUACAUACCUCCCAACCAAUAGAUCUCCUUGAGAUCAUGAUACAUCUUGACACUCAUUCACUAUGGACACUGAGUCUAUGGAAGGAACAUCAUGUUCUAAGUCAUCGACUCUUACUAAGUUGUAUAACUACCCCUUAGAUAACAUCUUAUUGGAUUUAAGAUGGGAAACUAUUUGACUUGUCGGAUUUUAACUACGCCCUUCCCAUUCCAACUCUAACUCAUUAGGAAACUGAAAUCUUACUACCCUGUUUAGAAAGACUAUGGUAGCAUAACAUCUAUGGAGCCAAUCCAUACCCAAAUUUAUAUCAAUGUCAACCAUUGUUAAUUUUAUUAGGUCAGCAUAGAUAACUCUAUCAAGAAUAGUUAUCUAGCAAAUCUCUAUAUACCCUUUCAGUUCUAAUGUUGUGUCUUAUGGUAGUACUUAAUAGAAAAGGUUCAUGCGAGAUCUCAGGAUGCAAGUCAAAUUUAUUAGUUACUAAAGGUGAAUCAAAAGACAAGGUGGAUCCAUGAUCUUACAAUGCAUGACCAGGAAGAGAAAAGACAAGCAAGUUACCAUUGACCACAUUAGUUGACUUUCCUUCUCCUAUCUACCUUUCAAAUCAUAAAACAGGUUCCUCUUAUGAGGCUUAGCUGUAGCAGUAGGAUUAGGAGGAGGCUGAGCAUUUGCUUUGGCCUGGUUCUUCACAUGUAGGCAGUCCCUAAUUAUAUCCCCACUCUUGUUGCACCCAUAGAAAGAAUUAGUACCUACCAAGAACUCACCUCCAUGCAUACGACAAAACUUACCACACGGCUCUCUGUCACGCUGGGCAUUUCUAUCAUUGCCUUUCUUGGAGUCAGACUUGUCUACCUCGGAGUUAGUGUUAUUAGAAGUUGUAAGAUUACCUGAAUGCUUGUGCCCCUUAUUGAACUUGGGCCUAUUCAAAACUAUAAUGAAAUUAUUACCAUUACUCGAAUCAUACUGAUCCGAGGACCUAGAUUUCUAUCUCUCUCGGUCUCUCUUUCUCCGACUACUUUCCUCAACCUUCUGUGCAUGUACCAUCAACCUACCAAGGUCCAUGUACUCAUGCAACAUAGCUACCCGACAUUCCUCCUCCAAAUCCUCUAACACACUAAUCUUCAUCUCAUCCCUUCUAUUGGACACAAGAGAAGGAACAUAUUUCGAGGGCUUAGUAAAUUUCAAGGAAUACUCCUUGGCUGACAUACCUUCAUGUCGUUGGUUAAUAAAUCUCAACCUUAGCCUCUCUUGGUUCCGUGGGAAAGAAUCUCUCUCGGAAUUCAAUCUUAAGAACGUCCCAAGUAAUGGGAACUUCUCCUGGUGCUCAGCCAUCUGGCCACAUCCUAUUCCACAACUGAGCCACAUCUUUGAGUUGGUACGAAGCCGACUCAGCCUUUUUCUCUCCAUUUACAUCAUAGCACAUAAAAUCUUAUGAACCUUAGCUACAAAUUUUUGAGGAUCCUCAUUGGUCUUGGACCCAUUUUAUAAUGGAGGAUUCAUUCUACUGAAGUCCCUCAGUCUGCUAGCCAUGGUGCUAGCAUGUGGGUUCUCCCUAUGAGCACCCUCAAUAGUGUCCUAGGCUGUGAUAGUCUUUGACGAAGUAGUGAUGGCUUGGUCAAUUUGAACUAGUUCUUCUCUUACUUAUCCAUCUGUCAACACAACUCGGUUGACAGACACUUGCAUCCAUUAGUAGGGGAUUGAGGCGGAGCUUGGUCGACUCCAAUAGCUGCUUCUUCGACUCUUCUGCAUGUGUUUCCCCUCAUGUUCAUUUUCUACACGUAUACACAAGAAGGAAGUAGUAAUUAGAAUGACAAAACAUGUCAAAGCUCUAUACAACACGAAAAAAAUAGAAGAAGGGAGGUUGCAUAUCAUCACUUAGUCUCUAAGUCAUGAUUGUGGUGCGAUUCACAACCAUAAGUUAGAAACUACAUAACAUGGUUGUUUUUACCUUUAGUUACUAGCUAAUUCAACGUCAUACUCUGAUACCAUGUUUCUCACACCCUAAUUCUUGAUUCUGGAUACAACCGUCGUCGUUAACCUCUUACAGGUGGCAGACAAACCUCUUCUUUGCUUUAAUAACAAUCAUAUAGUUAUAUUUGUGGAAAAUUUAAAACUUUUUAAACAUAGUGAAUUAUACAUAGGCUUCAUAAGAUUACUAUGUAUAAUCAUAUUCUAACGAGCUCUAACUUAAAAUCUUAAUAGUUUUCAUAACGGCCUUAGUACAAAGCUUUAAAUAAAAGUCUUAAAUGAAAGGCUAGGGAUAACAUCAACUAGCUAUGUCUAAAUUACUAAGCUAGAAUUAUAGGUGUAGCAUCCUCGUACUCAAGAGGACCUACCAAAGUAUGGAGAUCGCUAUUCCAAAUUACUUCAAUGAGUCUUCAAUAUGCUUUCAGACCCGCGCCAAUAAAAUAGUAAUAACAUAAGGUUAGUACACACCUGUAAUGAAUAUGGGUAUAUGCACAUAAGUUCUAUGCAUGAUCAAGGAAAACUCUUCCUAUAAAAACAGGCAAUUUCUUGAAAGUUAAGUAACUAGACUUUUCUUAUUCAUUAUUUGUGAAUUGUGGUAUGAAUAUGACAUAUUUUAAUGCAUUCAAAGAACACUAAUCAUUUUCUAUAUGAACAUAAGUGUUAUGCCUCGUAUUUUUUUUUAUACGUAGUGCGCAUCGUGAUCUAGAAGACGUAAAGAAAUAUUAGGCAAGGAUGUUAUUUCCAAAUGUGAUAUUAAGUAUGAGUUGGUUAAUAUAAGUGCCAUUAACUUUAAGUGAGGGAUUAAUUAGUGGCUAAUUUGGAUUGAUUUAAUCCAAUGGGCCCCACCACUCAAGGCAAAAAUUAAAAAGGGAUCAGAUUGUGGGCUGGCCUUAGUGGACAGGUGUAGAGGGGGGCUGCCUCCACUUCAUACUAUUAAAUGAGGUGGAGAAAUCCACUCCAUGCUAUAUAAAGUGGUGAAAUGCAUUGCUGCAUAUCAUCUUCUUCUUCACCACUUGUCUUAGGCAGCCAUGGAAAUGGAGAAACCAACCUUGCAACUCUUGGCCAGCAGCUGCAAAUAAUUUGGUUAGUAAUCUCCUUGUUUGGUGUGUUAAUUCUUUAGAAUACCCUUGUUAAUUAUCCAUUAAUUUUAAGAAGGGGGUGUGACCAGUAGCUUAGGAAGUUUGUUUUAGUUAUUGAAUGUGCUAAGUAUGAAUGGAAACCAUAAUCGGAUUAUUAGUGGUGUCAUGUUGGUGCUUGGGCUGUUUAUAUGAUUCUUUGGGUUAUAUGUGUUAUUGGUAUUGCUGUGGAUAAUUUGGAGUGUUGUCGGAUUGGGACGAAGUAAGGAAAAUAGGGGAGGUGCUGCCGAAUUUUCAUUAGAUUAUUAGCUAGCUUACAAGAAAGUAAAGCACGAUGUUUAUCUAAUUGCGGCAUGAUUGUUGCUUGUUAUAGAUUAAUAGCUUGAGCAGUAAAUAUUGGACGUGCGGCUAAAUUAUACGGUAUGUAACGUUGUCCCUUCUUUCUUUGCUUGGCAUGACUUUUAAAAAUAAGCGAAUAACGGACAGAUUUGAUACUUACCUCUAAAGCGUCUAGGUGAUGUAUAUUCUUGCUUCCACAAUUAUUCCUCUAUAUAUCGGUUAUGUCUAAGGCUAUGAUGAUCUCUAAUAUCUAUGGUAAUGCUUCUUAGAGUCAUUGAAAUUUUACGUUUUCAUAUCGUAUUAAAGGUUCAUAAUCUUGAUAAAACAUUAAUCUUUGGUAAUACUCCUUGCUGGUUCACGUUGAUUGUUCUAUUGAGUUAUAAGAAAUGAUUUUAAUUGCAUAUGGUUGCUCAUAAUAUUCUGCUCAUGCAUAGAGUCAUUUAUCAUUUCACCGAGUCUCGGGCCGGGUAAUGUUCGUGCGGAGUUUCUUGCAUAUGUCACCGAGUCCCUCACUAGAGGGCCGGGUAUGUAUAUUAUAUAUAUGAUUGGUGAUGAGGAUGGUUAUGAUGAUGAUGAUGACGGAGAUGACGUGAUGAUUAUUUUGCCGAGCCCCUUACUAGGGAAGCUGGGCACCUUAAAUGUUAAAUAUAUGCAUGAUUUUCACUUAAAAAGUAUAUGUGUAGCGAUAUUUUGUUUCGACUUGCCACAUUGGUAUCCUGUCAUCUUUACCUUAUGCUUUACAUACUCAGUACAUUGUCCGUACUGACCCCCCUUUCCUCGGGGGCUGCGUUUCAUGCCCGCAGGUGUAGACGCGCAGUUCGGUGAUCCUCCCGCCUAGGAUAUCUACUCUGCUGAUUGGGAGAGCUCCAAUGUUCCGGAGCCCAGUCGUUUUGGUACAUAACUUUUGUGUAGUCUUUUGCUCGUCUAGGGUAUGGCGGGGCCCUGUCCCGUCGAGUUUCACUAAUGUACUCUUAGAGGUCUGUGGACAUUAUGUGGGUUGUAUAUAUAUGUUUUGGAUAAUGGUCUGGACAUGGUUUGUUUGGGAUGUCCGCUUGUACAGGGGCAGCCUUGUCGGCUGCGUACAUCAUUAUGCUUUGAAUAGUGGCGGCCUUGUCGGCUCGCGUAUGCUGUUAUGGUUGAAUGGUUAUGACUCCUUAUGAGACAUGUCCUCUUAUAUAUAUAUAUGACGUUGGGGUUGGCUUGAUUUGAUUAAAUUCCAUAUUGUCUUAGUUUCAGUUGGUCAUACUUAGCAGGUUUGUAUGUGGGUGUCCAAAACGGGCACUAAUCACAGCCUAUCGGGUUGGGUCGUGACAAAGAGUGGUAUCAGAGCGGUUCUUCCUCGAAAGUGCCUACAGACCGUGUCUAGUAGAGUCUUGUUUAUCGGUGUGUUGUGCACCACAUCUAUAAACAGGAAGCUACAGGACAUUUAGGAUGUCAUUCUUUCUUCUUAUUCUAGAUCGUGCGAUAGAGCUAUAUUAACAGGAUAAUCCCUCUCUAACGAAUACAUGUGUUUUCAGCUAUGCCUCCAAAGAAAGCGGCAACCGCCCAGAAGGGAAAAUCGGUAGUAGAAGGUACUAGUCAGACCCGAAGAGUUACUAGGGCCCGUGCCCAGUCUAUGCCUAGUAUUAUGCUCCAGUCGGAGAGCUCUGCUACACCCCCACCGCCAGAAGAGCUUAGAGCAGCAGCAGCUCCAGUUCGGGGGACACCACCAGCCCCCGAGGCCCCAACAUCUGAACCUCCAGCUCCUCAGUCAGGGACGGAGGAUAGGGCCAUGAGAGAUGCGGUUCGAUUGCUGAUUAGAUUAGUGGCAGAUCAGGCUCGCAGGCAUGGACUAGGAGUUGAUCAUGCGGACAGAUCUGAUAGCUUAAGGGCUCGUGACUUCUUAAGUUGUAAUCCUCCAGAGUUCUUUGGGUCAAGGCCACAGGAUGAUCCGCAAGAGUUUAUUCGUCAGAUGCAGCGUACAUUGAGGAUAAUCAAGGCUUCGGAGACCGAGUCUGUUGAGUUGGCUACGUAUCGUUUGCGGGAUGUAGCUAUUAAUUGGUAUGAGUCUUGGGAGUUAUCUAGGGGUGAGGGUGCCCCUCCAGCGGUAUGGGAUGAAUUUGUGGAGGCUUUCCAGGGCCACUUCCUGCCUCCAGAGAUGAAGCGAGCUAGAGUCGAUAAAUUCUUGCGUUUGAAGCAAAAUGCAGGAGCGUUCGAGAGUAUAGCCUCGAGUUUGAUUCAUUGGCUAGGCAUGCGCCUACUAUUGUGGCUGAUAUGGCAGACAGGGUACAUCGUUAUGUGAUGGGAUUGGAUCGUUAUCUGAUUGACGGUUGUAUGGCAGUGACUCUUCAGCCAGGUAUGGACAUUGCUCGGGUGCAGGCAUAUGCACAGGGGGUAGAGGAUCGGCACCGAGGACGUCAGCCAGAUAGAGAUUAUAAUAGAGGCCAGCAUAAGAGGGCUAGAUCAGCAGGUUAUCCUGACGAGUUUCAAAGCGGGCAGUCUCAGCAGCAUGUUAGAUUUUCUUCCCAGCCAGCACAGAGUGCACCCCCACGUUUCAUGGGUAGGGGGUUCGAUCGUAUGGGAUAUUCGGAACCUGGUCAGAGCUCUAGGGCGUCAGGGUCACAGAUGGGCAGGGGUUUGAGCCAGUCGAGGCCACCUUUGCCUCGGUGUUCUCGUUGUGGUAAGUCCCAUCCUGGGGAAUGUCGUUGGGCUACAGGUGCGUGUUUUUCUUGCGGCCGUCAGGGCCAUACUAUGAGGGAGUGUCACCUUAGAGGUAGUGCAGGUGGUAUGGCACAGCCUAGAGGGUCCGUUACUGGUUCAUCUUCUUCUGUGGCUAUGCGCCCUACGGGGCAGGGUAUUCAGGCACCAGCAGGCCGUGGUAGAGGACGUGGUGGAGCUUCUAGUUCUAGCGGUCCCUCAAACCGUAUAUAUGCUUUGACUAAUAGGCAAGAUCAAGAGGCGUCACCUAAUGUGAUCACAGGUAUAUUAUCACUAUUCUCCCGAAGUGUGUAUGCAUUGAUAGACCCAGGUUCCACCUUAUCAUAUAUAUCUCCCUUUGUUGCUAGUAGGAUCGGAAUAGAGUCUGAGUUGAUAGAACCAUUUGAGGUAGCUACACCUGUAGGAGAUUUUGUCAUAGCUACGCGAGUAUAUAGGAAUUGUUCAGUAGCUAUAUAUAGUCGUCAUACCGUAGCAGAUCUAAUAGAGUUAAAUAUGAUUGAGUUUGAUAUUAUCAUGGGCAUGGAUUGGUUGGCUGCUUGUUAUGCUAAUGUUGAUUGCAGAGAAAAGAUAGUUCGAUUUCAAUUUCCAGGGGAACCGAUUAUAGAGUGGAAGGGAAGUACAGUAUCGCCGAAAAGUAAGUUCAUUUCAUACCUCAAGGCCGGGAAGAUGGUUAGAAAAGGCUAUAUUUACCAUCUGAUUCGGGUGUAUGACAUAAAGGCAGAGGCACCGACUCUUCAAUUAGUCCCGGUAGUUAAUGAAUUUCCUGAUGUAUUCCCCGAGGAACUUCCAGGCCUUCCUCCAGAACGGGAGAUAGAGUUUACUAUAGAUGUACUGCCAGAUACCCAGCCUAUAUCUAUACCUCCUUAUAGAAUGGCACCUGCUGAGUUGAAAGAAUUGAAAGAGCAAUUGAGGGAUUUGCUAGAAAAGGGCUUCAUCAGGCCUAGUACGUCACCUUGAGGAGCACCAGUACUGUUUGUGAGGAAGAAGGAUGGGUCGCUGCGGAUGUGCAUUGAUUAUAGGCAGUUGAACAAAGUAACAAUAAAGAACAGGUAUCCCCUCCCAAGGAUUGACGAUCUAUUUGACCAGUUGCAGGGUGCAAAGUGUUUUUCAAAGAUAGACUUGCGGUCAGGUUAUCAUCAGGUGCGGGUAAGGGAGGAAGAUAUUCCAAAGACAGCAUUCCGAACCCGAUAUGGACAUUAUGAUUUUAGAGUGCUGUCUUUUGGGCUGACUAAUGCUCCAGCGGUAUUCAUGGAUUUAAUGAAUCGAGUAUUUAAACCAUUCCUUGAUAUGUUUGUUAUUGUAUUUAUAGACGAUAUUCUGGUCUAUUCACGUUCAGAAGAGGAGCAUGCAGAUCAUUUAAGGACGGUACUUAGGGUGCUUCAGCACCAGAAGUUGUAUGCUAAAUUUUCUAAGUGCGAGUUCUGGUUGACUUCAGUGGCAUUCUUGGGGCAUAUUAUUGGAGCUGAUGGUAUUCGGGUAGAUACGCAGAAGAUUGAGGCAGUAAAGACUUGGCCCAGACCUACGACACCUACUGAGGUACGCAGCUUUUUGGGGUUAGCAGGAUAUUACAGGAGAUUCGUAGAAAAGUUUGCCUCAAUUUCAGUGCCUUUGACAAGGCUAACUCAAAAGGCAGCCAAGUUCCAGUGGACAGAUGCUUGUGAGCGAAGCUUCCAGCUAUUGAAAGACAAAUUGACUACAGCUCCAGUCCUAACUCUUCCAGAGGGACCAGACGGCUAUGUUAUUUAUUGUGAUGCUUCGGGUGUUGGGCUAGGAUGUGUAUUGAUGCAGCAUGGCAAAGUUAUAGCCUAUGCCUCCCGACAACUUAGGAAGCAUGAAAAGAACUAUCCUACUCACGAUCUGGAGUUAGCGGUCGUGGUUCAUGCCUUGAAGAUAUGGAGACAUUAUUUAUAUGGUGUCCAUGUGGACAUCUAUACAGAUCAUAAGAGUCUCCAAUAUAUCUUUAAACAGAAGGAGCUGAACUUACGACAGAGGCGGUGGUUAGAGUUGCUAAAGGAUUAUGAUGUUGAUAUUUUAUAUCAUCCAGGGAAAGCGAAUGUUGUAGCAGAUGCUCUUAGCCGUAAGUCCAUGGGUAGCUUGACAGAUGUACAACCAGAAAGGAGGGAUAUGGUUCGGGAGAUUCAGCGGCUAUCCAGCCUUGGAGUCCGUCUAGCUAAUUCGGAAGAUAGUGGAGUUUCUAUUCGAGAGGUUGCUGAGUCCUCAAUCAUAGAUGAGGUAAAGCGACACCAAUACAAGGACCCUAUUCUGGAACAGUAUAGAGAUGCAGCUCUUCAAAAGGAAAAGACCCCAUUUAAGGUUACACCUGAUGGAGUGUUACAAUAUGAAGGCAGAUUGUGUGUACCCGAUACUGCGGGGCUACGACGGCAAGUUAUGGGAGAGGCACACUCUGCCCGUUAUUCUAUUCACCCAGGGUCAACAAAAAUGUAUCAUGACCUCAGAUGCUUAUAUUGGUGGGAUGGCAUGAAAAAGGACAUAGCAGAGUUUGUUGCUCAGUGCCCAAAUUGUCAACAAGUUAAGAUCGAACAUCAAAAGCCUGGUGGAUUAUUACAGGAGAUAGAGAUCCCGACUUGGAAAUGGGAAAUGAUUAAUAUGGACUUCAUUACAGGCUUACCUCGCACUCAACGGAAGUAUGACUCUAUAUGAGUUAUUGUAGAUAGGCUGACGAAAUCGGCCCAUUUUCUUCCAGUCAGGACUACUUAUUCGGCUGAAGAUUAUGCGAGGUUAUAUGUCAGGGAGAUAGUGAGACUUCAUGGGGUUCCCACGUCCAUUAUAUCAGACAGAGGAGCUCAAUUUACAGCCAACUUUUGGAGAUCGUUUCAGAAGGGAUUGGGGACACAGGUGAACCUUAGCACAGCAUUUCACCCUCAGACUGAUGGGCAGGCUGAGCGUACUAUUCAGACACUAGAAGAUAUGUUGCGGGCCUGUAUUAUUGACUUCAAAGGAAGCUGGGAUGACCACUUGCCGCUCAUUGAGUUUGCCUAUAAUAAUAGCUACCAUUCUAGUAUCCAGAUGGCACCGUACGAGGCCUUAUAUGGGAGGAAGUGCAGAUCACCUAUUGGUGGUUUGAUGUUGGCGAGACUAAGUUAAUAGGCCCGGAUGUGAUUCAGCAAGCUGUUGACAAGGUGAAGCUUAUUCAAGAAAGAUUAUUAGCAGCCCAGAGUCGACAGAAGUCAUAUGAAGAUAAUCGGCGUCGAGAUUUGGAGUUUCAGAUUGGUGACUGGGUAUUCCUGAAGGUAUCACCCAUGAGGGGUGUGAUGAGAUUCGGCAGGAAGGGGAAGCUCAGUCCGAGAUACAUUGGGCCUUAUCAGAUUGUUCGUAGGAUAGGCAAGGUUUCCUAUGAGUUGGAUCUACCAUCUGAUUUGGAGGCGGUACAUCCAGUCUUCCAUGUAUCGAUGCUACGUAAAUGUAUUGGUGAUCCUUCUAGAGUAUUCCCUGUAGAUGAUAUUCAGGUAACAGAGGAGUUGUCAUAUGAGGAGAAACCCGUGGCUAUACUUGAUCGUCAGGUUAGAAGGUUACGUACUAAGGAUGUGGCUUCCGUCAAAGUGUUGUGGCAAAAUAACAAUAGGGAGGAGAUGACUUGGGAAGCGGAAGACGAAAUGAAAAAUAAGUAUCCUUACUUGUUCCCCGUACCUGCAGGUAAUUCAAUUCCUAGCUUGACUAUAUUGAUAGAUAAUGAGAUUAUGUAGCUGUGAGGCAUCUGUAAGUUACGGAAUGCAGGUUGAUAGGUAUAACUUUUAGAGAGACCUCGCUGGAAUUUGUUUUUGCAAGACGCUAACUUAACAUUCGAGGACGAAUGUUCCUAAGGGGGGAAGGAUGUUAUGCCUCGUAUUUUUUUAUACGUAGUGCGCAUCGUGAUCUAGAAGACGUAAAGAAAUAUUAGGCAAGGAUGUUAUUUCCAAAUGUGAUAUUAAGUAUGAGUUGGUUAAUGUAAGUGCCAUUAACUUUAAGUGAGGGAUUAAUUAGUGGCUAAUUUGGAUUGAUUUAAUCCAAUGGGCCCCACCACUCAAGGCAAAAAUUAAAAAGGGAUCAGAUUGUGGGCUGGCCUUAGUGGACAGGUGUAGAGGGGGGCUGCCUCCACUUCAUACUAUUAAAUGAGGUGGAGAAAUCCACUCCAUGCUAUAUAAAGUGGUGAAAUGCAUUGCUGCAUAUCAUCUUCUUCUUCACCACUUGUCUUAGGCAGCCAUGGAAAUGGAGAAACCAACCCUGCAACUCUUGGCCAGCAGCUGCAAAUAAUUUGGUUAGUAAUCUCCUUGUUUGGUGUGUUAAUUCUUUAGAAUACCCUUGUUAAUUAUCCAUUAAUUUUAAGAAGGGGGCGUGACCAGUAGCUUAGGAAGUUUGUUUUAGUUAUUGAAUGUGCUAAGUAUGAAUGGAAACCAUAAUCGGAUUAUUAGUGGUGUCAUGUUGGUGCUUGGGCUGUUUAUAUGAUUCUUUGGGUUAUAUGUGUUAUUGGUAUUGCUGUGGAUAAUUUGGAUUGUUGUCAGAUUGGGACGAAGUAAGGAAAAUAGGGGAGGUGCUGCCGAAUUUUCGUUAGAUUAUUAGCUAGCUUACAAGAAAGUAAAGCACGAUGUUUAUCUAAUUGCGGCACGAUUGUUGCUUGUUAUAGAUUAAUAGCUUGAGCAGUAAAUAUUGGACGUGCGGCUCAAUUAUACGGUAUGUAACGCUGUCCCUUCUUUCUUUGCUUGGCAUGACUUUUAAAAAUAAGCGAAUAACGGACAGAUUUGAUACUUACCUCUAAAGCGUCUAGGUGAUGUAUAUUCUUGCUUCCAUAAUUAUUCCUCUAUAUAUCGGUUAUGUCUAAGGCUAUGAUGAUCUCUAAUAUCUAUGGUAAUGCUUCUUAGAGUCAUUGAAAUUUUACGUUUUCAUAUCGUAUUAAAGGUUCAUAAUCUUGAUAAAACAUUAAUCUUUGGUAAUACUCCUUGCUGGUUCACGUUGAUUGUUCUAUUGAGUUAUAAGAAAUGAUUUUAAUUGCAUAUGGUUGCUCAUAAUAUUCUGCUCGUGCAUAGAGUCAUUUAUCAUUUCACCGAGUCCCGGGCCGGGUAAUGUUCGUGCGGAGUUUCUUGCAUAUGUCACCGAGUCCCUCACUAGAGGGCCGGGUAUGUAUAUUAUAUAUAUGAUUGGUGAUGAGGAUGGUUAUGAUGAUGAUGAUGACGGAGAUGACGUGAUGAUUAUUU
RNAcentral lists this long non-coding RNA (17354 nucleotides) under Solanum lycopersicum (tomato). Its description in RNAcentral is "long non-coding RNA (SLYC_LNC000291)". Lineage: Eukaryota; Viridiplantae; Streptophyta; Magnoliopsida; Solanales; Solanaceae. The record is from RNAcentral.